UCCUCAAAUUGCUGAAGGCGCUUCUCCCACCUCCAUGCGGGAGAUGCGAGAUCCCCCGCAGGGUCCUCUUCCCCUCCACUUGGGACCGCUCUAGCCGUGUUCCUAGGGUCACAGAGUUUGUAGAAGUUGCAAAAGAAAAGUCAGCUGUGCCAGGGGUGUGUGAGCCCAGAGGCCCUCCGUGCGGUGGAGUCUCACCUCUGGCUCUUGCUCACAGAGCCCCUGCAUUCCAAAGUGUGACUGCGGAGUCCGCCCUCCAGAGCAGAGUCAGCUUCUGUUGUGAUCGACCCAGACAGCUUUAAAAUAUGGCCCAAGUCCUGGUUUGUUGUUGCAACAGUAUCAUAUUUAUUUAGUUUGGCUACUGACAGACGAGUGGAGUACUCCGCCACUGGGAACUGAACCCAGGCCACUGAGGGGGUGAGAGCGCUGCACUUUAACCGCUAGGCCGUCAGGGCUGGCUCCAGGCCCUCUUUGAUAAUUCUUCUUUAGUGUAUCCCUAAGUAUUGUGUGUGUAUGUAUGUGUGUGUGUAUUAUUCAAAUAUCAAAGAUAUACACAAAAGACAUACUUUUCUCGAUGUGUUUUUCAUAAGAAUAAAUUUGUGGGGCCAGCCCCAUGGCCGAGUGGUUAAGUUUGCGUGCUCCGCUUCGGCAGCCCCGGUUU
Molecule: non-coding RNA, 658 nt
Organism: Equus caballus (horse)
Lineage: Eukaryota; Metazoa; Chordata; Mammalia; Perissodactyla; Equidae
Source: RefSeq, a predicted model, not a curated record